Molecule: long non-coding RNA, 243 nt
Organism: Ornithodoros turicata
Lineage: Eukaryota; Metazoa; Arthropoda; Arachnida; Ixodida; Argasidae
Exons: 3
Source: RefSeq, a predicted model, not a curated record
GGUCCAAUCGAUCAGUCUAGUGAAAGCGAAAAACAAACAUCUCCAUCCUUCACCUGAUCCAGCCCGACCCCGGGAAUCAUGACAGGUCCAGUCGAUCGUUCUACUCGCCAUGAAGAACCGAAAACAUCUCCACCCUUCACAUCAUCCAGCACGACACCAGGAAUGAUGACAAGUCCAGUCGAUCGUUCUACUCGCCAUGAAGAACCGAAAACAUCUCCACCCUUCACGUCAUCCAGCACGACA